AUUUCUAGGGUGGUGUGGAGAACUGUGGGUUCCUUGAUUGGAAUUGAUUGUUGUCCUAAUUCUGUCUGGCAAUAUUAUGCUUGGAUAUAUAGCUUCUUACCUGGACUGGAUAAAGUGUUCACCGUUGGCUUGGAUGCUAUAUGCUGGGCUAUCUGGCUAGCUAGGAACCGAGCCACUUUUGAAUUCAAAUGGAUUAACACUCCAUUUGAGAUUGUAUUUACAGCAUGUGCCUUUUUGAUGUACUGGGUAGGUCUCCAGAAACCUGAGAUAGGAGAGAUGGUGAAGAAAGGAGCAGAGAUGCUGAGGGAGAACACAACAUAG
RNAcentral lists this ribosomal RNA (321 nucleotides) under Triticum aestivum (bread wheat). RNAcentral describes it as "partial small subunit ribosomal RNA". The record is from RNAcentral. Lineage: Eukaryota; Viridiplantae; Streptophyta; Magnoliopsida; Poales; Poaceae.